AGUGAACGCUGGCGGUAGGCCUAACACAUGCAAGUCGAACGGCAGCACAGUAAGAGCUUGCUCUUACGGGUGGCGAGUGGCGGACGGGUGAGGAAUACAUCGGAAUCUACUUUUUCGUGGGGGAUAACGUAGGGAAACUUACGCUAAUACCGCAUACGACCUACGGGUGAAAGCAGGGGAUCUUCGGACCUUGCGCGAUUGAAUGAGCCGAUGUCGGAUUAGCUAGUUGGCGGGGUAAAGGCCCACCAAGGCGACGAUCCGUAGCUGGUCUGAGAGGAUGAUCAGCCACACUGGAACUGAGACACGGUCCAGACUCCUACGGGAGGCAGCAGUGGGGAAUAUUGGACAAUGGGCGCAAGACUGAUCCAGCCAUACCGCGUGGGUGAAGAAGGCCUUCGGGUCGUAAAGCCCUUUUGUUGGGAAAGAAAAGCAGCAGGUUAAUACCCCGCUGUUCUGACGGUACCCAAAGAAUAAGCACCGGCUAACUUCGUG
RNAcentral lists this ribosomal RNA (492 nucleotides) under uncultured bacterium. RNAcentral describes it as "partial 16S ribosomal RNA". It matches the Rfam family "Bacterial small subunit ribosomal RNA", at positions 29 to 507 of the family's 1533-position model. The record is from RNAcentral.